GUACAUAUACUCUCAAUAUAGUUUGUCUAGUCAUUCUCAUGCUGUGGGAGGCCACCAAGCCUUGUGACCUUUCCUGAUCGGUUGAGGCUUUGCUGGUCACUUCCUGUGAUCUGACCACAUCAAAGUGGCCAUAGAUGGUGGUCCAGUCUUGUGAGUCGUAAAAAUGUCGCUAAAUGUAUCUUCAUGCUUAGGUGUGCCUUCCUGCAGCCCCAUGGGUCGAGCUACGCUCACCUGUUCCUUUGUGAUAUUACCCCUUUGCCAUGUUUGGGACAGAAUGUUCCAUGGAAACGCCCUUUGUAUGUCCCUUUCUCUUGCUCUCCCUUUGGGUGUGGCCUUCCUAGAUGUCAGCCUCCUGCCAGCAGACAUCAUGAAGCUAGACUCAGCCCCUUGAAACCUGACCCCUUGCCUCACUUGAAUGACUUCUCCUUAAUAAAAGGGGUCAGCAUGCGCUGGCGCUUGCUCUCUCUUUCUGUGGACCCUUAAGGUCAGAGGAUCCAUCACAAGACCCCCAAAAAGAAAAAGGUAUCUCUGUCUCUUUGUGGUUAUAUCAUGCAGCCCAUUUCCCCUGGAGUGAC
Molecule: long non-coding RNA, 575 nt
Filed under: Marmota monax (woodchuck)
Lineage: Eukaryota; Metazoa; Chordata; Mammalia; Rodentia; Sciuridae
Source: RNAcentral